This 1845-nucleotide long non-coding RNA is filed under the name Capsella grandiflora. Its description in RNAcentral is "long non-coding RNA (CGRA_LNC001804)". The record is from RNAcentral. Lineage: Eukaryota; Viridiplantae; Streptophyta; Magnoliopsida; Brassicales; Brassicaceae.
ACGAAACCAUUAAAGACAUUUGUUUGCUCGAUUGAUAGGAUCAUAAAGAGUAAAUUUCGGGUUAUAAAAACAGCAAUUAAACCGAUCCAUCUAUACUAUUAAAGCUGAAGUACCCAUCAGAUUUACAAUAAAAUUUUCAAUUGAAAUAAAAUACACGUAAUCGGAUAUAUCAUUUUUGGAUCAUUGGGUAUAGAUAAUGAAUCGGAUAUUUCUCCAGCAGAUUAUAUCAUUUCCAUAUUUAGUUUUGAUUUUUCUAAAAUAUCUCUAACUAAUUUAAUAUAAUAUAUUAAAAAUAAUUAUUAUUCUCCUCUUACAUUCUUAUGAUCAUGUUUAUAUUUUAUUUAUUUUAUUACAUUAAAAAUAUGAAUAAAUAAAACUAGAAAUUUUUUUCCGCAUAUGUUGUCAUUUGAAUUAUUUAAAACGGACAUAUAAAUCUCAAUCGAUUAAAAAAAGAGGUAUGUAAAACGUCCUACAUCGGCUAGAAAAGUUUAGAAAAUGGUUCAUAAUCAUUAUAAAUAGUUGUUCAAAAAAAAAAAUCAUUAUAAAUAGGAUCCUACCAAAAAAAAACAUUAUAAAUAGGACUGAUAUAUUCAACCUACGAAUAAACCGGAAGUUUGAUUUCUCAACUGUCCAAAAUUUAAAAUUUUUAUUCGGUUAAACUCGGUUCUAUAUUUGAGCAAAUUAAAACUUUCAAAAAAAUUUAAAUAUUAUAAUAUUAAAUUUAAAAAAAAAAUCAAAGUACUAUAAAUAUUGAAACUUUAGAGUAUUAAGUUUUAAAUAUUUUAGGUGAAAUAUUAAAUAAUACACUACUAAUUUUUUUAAAGAUAUUUGUUCUGAAAAAAGUUUAUUUAAUUACACAAUAACAUACAAACAAAUUAUUCAUGUCAAAUUAAGAAACAUAUAUGUAAUGCUUUUGAACUCAAAUAGGAAGGGCCACUUCACUGAGUAUUUGUGAUAAUAGUCACGCAUCUCAUUGUUUUUGUGAUGCAGGUAAUGAUAAAUUGUGAUCGUGGAAUCAAGGCGAGGAAGAGGGCGAUGAUCUAGAGUCGCUGUUUGGGUUUUAAUGUUUUGUUAUUUUAUUUAUGGAACCACGGAUGAGAAGAAUGCUUAGCAAUGCUAGUUUAAUUUGGUUUAUGGAGACUUGUUGGUUGAUUUCUGGUUUAGUAUUCUAAUUGGAUUUAUUGAAGUUGGGUUAAUUGAGUUCCGUUGUUUGAUUGCAUGUUUGGUUUAAUACGUCGGUUAAGAUUAUUUUAUGGGGUUAAUAUUGAUGAAUUAAAAAGUUGGAAAACGGGAUGGAUCGUUUCAGUAUUGAAGUCUUUAACUUUGGGAGUUGGACACUUUUUCCAUGAGGCACCCAUGCCGGCCCAGCCCGCGACCCAUUUUUUUGAUACAUUAGUAUUGGGCCUACAGCUUUUUUGAAUUUUUUUACUAACAAAUUUAGGCCCCAAAAACAAAUUAUAUUGCAAUUAUAGGCCCCAAAUUUUGUGAAUGUUUAAGACUGUUUUUCACCUUUUUAAUUUUAUUUAUUUGGUAUUGCAAAAAACAGACCAUAGUUUAUGAAUUUUUUAGAUUUGGUCUUAUAAAAUUCAGUAAAUUUGUUUUUUGUAUUGGGCCUCAUAUUAUGCUGGACCGGCCCUGCACCCGUGGCAGACCCGAAGUGACCAUGAUCGGAUUAACAGGUUCCUCGUUUCGCAACUAUCAUUGAACAAUACGUUGUAUUCACGACCUUUAAAUUACUUUAUGAAUCAAAUCGGAGGUGUUUGAUCAUGUAGAUAUUAGUCCUGGGCACGAAGCGAAUAUUCGGAAAAUCUGUAAUAUUUGUGAUUCGCUUCGCUUCGACUGAAU